AAGUCGUAACAAGGUUUCCGUAGGUGAACCUGCGGAAGGAUCAUUAACAUCUGUUUUUGGAAUGUGGUGGUGUUUUUUCUCUUAGGAGAAGAGCAUUGCCCAUCUACCCCAUUGUGUGCAUGUCUGUGUUGUGUUGUGUUGUGACUGUGUGUGAGAGUAACAUCUCAUCACUUCACCUCACCUCACUCAUCUCAUUUAUACAACCCCAAACCCCUUCUUCUCAUCACACUAGACUGACUUUCAAUCCUCGUUUUCGCUCCCUACCAACGGAGCAAAACAUCAAUCAGCAUACAACUCUUAGCAACGGAUAUCUAGGCUCUC
RNAcentral lists this unclassified non-coding RNA (321 nucleotides) under fungal sp. Its description in RNAcentral is "partial internal transcribed spacer region". The stretch from base 1 to 46 matches the Rfam family "Eukaryotic small subunit ribosomal RNA", at positions 1786 to 1831 of the family's 1831-position model. The record is from RNAcentral. Lineage: Eukaryota; Fungi.